This 816-nucleotide ribosomal RNA is filed under the name marine metagenome. RNAcentral's name for it is "bacterial SSU rRNA". It matches the Rfam family "Bacterial small subunit ribosomal RNA", at positions 507 to 1336 of the family's 1533-position model. The record is from RNAcentral.
GCCAGCAGCCGCGGUAAUACGUAGGUGGCGAACGUUGUCCGGAUUCACUGGGCGUAAAGCGCGCGCAGGCGGAUCGGAAAGUCGAUAGGUGAAAUCUCCAGGCUCAACUUGGAGAGGCCCUGCGAUACUCCCGGUCUAGAGGCACCUAGAGGAGAGUGGAAUUAACGGUGGAGGGGUGGAAUCCGUAGAUAUCGUUAGGAACACCAGUGGCGAAAGCGGCUCUCUGGGGGUGUACUGACGCUGAGGCGCGAAAGCGUGGGGAGCGAACGGGAUUAGAUACCCCGGUAGUCCACGCCGUAAACGAUGAGCACUAGGUGUUUGGGGUAUCGAUCCCCUGAGUACCGAAGCUAACGCGAUAAGUGCUCCGCCUGGGAACUACGGCCGCAAGGCUAAAACUCAAAGGAAUUGACGGGGGCCCGCACAAGCAGCGGAGCGUGCGGUUUAAUUCGAAGAUACGCGAAGAACCUUACCAGGGCUUGACAUGUCGUUGACCGACUAUGAAAAUAGUUUUUCCUUCGGGACAGCGUCACAGGUGCUGCAUGGUUGUCGUCAGCUCGUGCCGUGAGGUGUUGGGUUAAGUCCCGCAACGAGCGCAACCCUUGCCGUGUGUUGUAUUUUUCACACGGGACUGCCCGGAGAAACCGGGAGGAAGGCGAGGACGACGUCAAAUCAGCAUGGCCCUUACGUCCUGGGCGACUCGCACGCUACAAUGGGUGGUACAGACCGUCGCGAUACCGCGAGGUGGAGCUAAUCGGACAAAACCAUCCUCAGUACGGAUUGCAGGCUGCAACUCGCCUGCAUGAAGCCGGAGUUGCU